RNAcentral lists this ribosomal RNA (628 nucleotides) under uncultured eukaryote. RNAcentral describes it as "SSU rRNA". It matches the Rfam family "Eukaryotic small subunit ribosomal RNA", at positions 610 to 1239 of the family's 1831-position model. The record is from RNAcentral.
UUGUUGCAGUUAAAAAGCUCGUAGUUGGAUCUCGGGUGCUAGCGUAUGGUUCGCUUUACUGCUGUAACUAUACGUCUAGUCCUAAUUAAUCGGUUGGCCGAUUAUGUCCUUUAUUGGGUGUUUUCGGUAGCCGGUACGUUUACUUUGAGAAAAUUAGAGUGCUUAAAGCAGGCCUUACGCCUGAAUAAUGUUGCAUGGAAUAAUAGAAUAGGACCUCGGUUCUAUUUUGUUGGUUUUGUAGAGCAUUGAGGUAAUGAUUAAUAGGGACAGACGGGGGCAUUCGUAUUGCGGUGUUAGAGGUGAAAUUCUUGGAUCGCCGCAAGACGAACAACUGCGAAAGCAUUUGCCAAGAAUGUUUUCAUUAAUCAAGAACGAAAGUUGGAGGUUCGAAGACGAUUAGAUACCGUCCUAGUUCCAACCAUAAACGAUGCCAACUAGCGAUUAGCUGCUGUUAUUUAAACGACACAGCUAGCAGCUUCCGGGAAACCAAAGUUUUUGGGUUCCGGGGGAAGUAUGGUUGCAAAGCUGAAACUUAAAGGAAUUGACGGAAGGGCACCACCAGGAGUGGAGCCUGCGGCUUAAUUUGACUCAACACGGGAAAUCUCACCCGGCCCGGACACUGUAAGGA